This 111-nucleotide ribosomal RNA is filed under the name uncultured eukaryote. Its description in RNAcentral is "partial small subunit ribosomal RNA". It matches the Rfam family "Eukaryotic small subunit ribosomal RNA", at positions 1676 to 1785 of the family's 1831-position model. The record is from RNAcentral.
UCGCUACUACCGAUUGAAUGAUUUAGUGAGCUACAGGGACCGCUGCUGAACUCGGUUUACCGAGCUGAUGCGGUGGGAACUGUUACAAACUUGAUCAUUUAGAGGAAGUAA